RNAcentral lists this ribosomal RNA (1084 nucleotides) under uncultured bacterium. RNAcentral describes it as "bacterial SSU rRNA". It matches the Rfam family "Bacterial small subunit ribosomal RNA", at positions 1 to 1104 of the family's 1533-position model. The record is from RNAcentral.
UGAGUUUGAUCAUGGUUCAGGACGAACGCUGGCGGCACGCUUAACACAUGCAAGUCGAACGAGGUUUUAAGAGCUUGCUUUUAAAACCGAGUGGCGGACGGGUGAGUAACACGUGAGCAAUCUGCCUUUCAGAGGGGAAUACCAGUUGGAAACGACUGUUAAUACCGCAUAAAAUAUAUUUGCCGCAUGACGAAUAUAUCAAAGAUUUUAUCGCUGAAAGAUGAGCUCGCGUCUGAUUAGAUAGUUGGUGAGGUAACGGCCCACCAAGUCAACGAUCAGUAGCCGGACUGAGAGGUUGAUCGGCCACAUUGGGACUGAGACACGGCCCAGACUCCUACGGGAGGCAGCAGUGGGGAAUAUUGCACAAUGGGCGCAAGCCUGAUGCAGCGAUGCCGCGUGAGGGAAGAAGGUUUUCGGAUUGUAAACCUCUGUUGACAGGGAAGAUAAUGACUGUACCUGUUCAGAAAGCUCCGGCUAACUACGUGCCAGCAGCCGCGGUAAUACGUAGGGAGCGAGCGUUGUCCGGAAUUACUGGGUGUAAAGGGAGUGUAGGCGGGACUGUAAGUCAGAUGUGAAAUUUAGGGGCUCAACCCCUGACCUGCAUUUGAAACUGCGGUUCUUGAGUGAAGUAGAGGUAAGCGGAAUUCCUAGUGUAGCGGUGAAAUGCGUAGAUAUUAGGAGGAACAUCAGUGGCGAAGGCGGCUUACUGGGCUUUAACUGACACUGAGGCUCGAAAGCGUGGGGAGCAAACAGGAUUAGAUACCCUGGUAGUCCACGCUGUAAACGAUGAUUACUAGGUGUGGGGGGACUGACCCCUUCCGUGCCGCAGUUAACACAAUAAGUAAUCCACCUGGGGAGUACGGUCGCAAGACUGAAACUCAAAGGAAUUGACGGGGGCCCGCACAAGCAGUGGAGUAUGUGGGUUAAUUCGAAGCAACGCGAAGAACCUUACCAGGUCUUGACAUCGAACGAAUUCUGUAGAGAUACGGAAGUGCCCUUCGGGGAGCGUGAAGACAGGUGGUGCAUGGUUGUCGUCAGCUCGUGUCGUGAGAUGUUGGGUUAAGUCCCGCAACGAGCGCAACCC